GUUGAACGCUGGCGGCAUGCCUAACACAUGCAAGUCGAGCGGACGGAGGGAGCUUUUUCUUGGAUGCAGCGGCGGGCGGGCGGGUAAGUCCCAGGAAUCUACCCGGCAUUUGGGGCUAAGGUCCGGUAACGGGCCCGGAUCUCGCAUCCGUCGAUAUGGUGAACGUGGGGGUUCUUUGGAGCUCACGCGAUUUGAUGUCACUAGGUCGUAGUAGCUAGUUGGUUAGGUAAAGGCCUACCAAGGCGACGAUGCGUAACUGGACUGAGAGUAUGAUCAGUCACACUGGAACUGAGACACGGUCCAGACUCCUACGGGAGGCAGCAGUGGGGAAUAUUCGGCAAUGGGCGAAAGCCUGACGCAGCAACGCCGCGUGUGUGAUGAAGGUCUUCGGAUCGUAAAGCACUGUUAGUAGGGAAGAACAGCUGUAUAUGAAUACCUUGCUGUUUUGACGGUACCUACUGAAUAAGCACCGGCUAACUACGUG
This 484-nucleotide ribosomal RNA is filed under the name uncultured bacterium. RNAcentral describes it as "partial 16S ribosomal RNA". It matches the Rfam family "Bacterial small subunit ribosomal RNA", at positions 28 to 507 of the family's 1533-position model. The record is from RNAcentral.